GACGUAGGGGGCAAGCGUUGUCCGGAUUUAUUGGGCGUAAAGAGCGUGUAGGCGGCCAGAUAGGUCCGUUGUGAAAACUGGAGGCUUAACCUCCAGCUGUCGAUGGAAACCAUCUGGCUAGAGUCCGGAAGAGGAGAGUGGAAUUCCUGGUGUAGCGGUGAAAUGCGCAGAUAUCAGGAGGAACACCGGUGGCGAAGGCGGUUCUCUGGGCCUUACCUGACGCUGAGGAGCGAAAGCGUGGGGAGCGAACAGG
This 253-nucleotide ribosomal RNA is filed under the name uncultured bacterium. Its description in RNAcentral is "partial 16S ribosomal RNA". It matches the Rfam family "Bacterial small subunit ribosomal RNA", at positions 524 to 776 of the family's 1533-position model. The record is from RNAcentral.